This 113-nucleotide Y RNA is filed under the name Saimiri boliviensis boliviensis (Bolivian squirrel monkey). RNAcentral describes it as "Y RNA (ENSSBOG00000000770.1)". It matches the Rfam family "Y RNA". From Rfam's summary of the family: Y RNAs are components of the Ro ribonucleoprotein particle (Ro RNP), in association with Ro60 and La proteins. Lineage: Eukaryota; Metazoa; Chordata; Mammalia; Primates; Cebidae. The record is from Rfam by way of RNAcentral.
GUCUGGUCCGAAGGUAGUGAGUUAUCUCAGUUGAUUGUUCACAGUCAGUUACAAAUUGAACUCCUUGUUCUACUCUUUCCCCCCUUCUCACUACUGCACUUGACUAGUCUUAA